CCUACGGGAGGCAGCAGUGAGGAAUAUUGGUCAAUGGGCGCGAGCCUGAACCAGCCACGUCGCGUGAGGGAAGAAUGACCUACGGAUUGUAAACUUCUUUUGUAAAGGAAUAAAGUGACGCUCGUGUGCCUUUUUGUAUGUACUUUAUGAAUACGGAUCGGCUAACUCCGUGCCAGCAGCCGCGGUAAUACGGAGGUUCCGAGCGUUAUCCGGAUUUAAUGGGUUUAAAGGGAGAUUAGAUGGGUUGUCAAGUCAGUUGUGAAAGUUUGCGGCUCAACCGCAAAAGUGCAAUUGAGACUGGCUGUGUUGAGUACAGGAGAGGUAGGCGGAAUUCGUGGUGUAGCGGUGAAAUGCUUAGAUAUCACGAAGAACUCCGAUUGCGAAGGCAGCCUACUAAACUGCAACUGACGUUGAGGCUCGAAAGCGUGGGGAGCAAACAGGAUUAGAUACCCUUGUAGUC
This 460-nucleotide ribosomal RNA is filed under the name uncultured bacterium. RNAcentral's name for it is "partial 16S ribosomal RNA". It matches the Rfam family "Bacterial small subunit ribosomal RNA", at positions 338 to 795 of the family's 1533-position model. The record is from RNAcentral.